This 74-nucleotide transfer RNA is filed under the name Syntrophothermus lipocalidus DSM 12680. It matches the Rfam family "tRNA". Rfam says of the family: Transfer RNA (tRNA) molecules are approximately 80 nucleotides in length. Lineage: Bacteria; Bacillati; Bacillota; Clostridia; Eubacteriales; Syntrophomonadaceae. The record is from Rfam by way of RNAcentral.
GCGCCCGUAGCUCAGAAGGAUAGAGCAGCGGUUUCCUAAACCGUUGGUCGGGGGUUCGAGUCCCUCCGGGCGCA